UAGCCGUCCUCGCCCACACCAUGACGAAGAACGAGAAGUCCCUCAACCAGUGCCUGGCCGAGUGGAAGCUCUUCAUCUACAACCCGACCACGGGAGAGUUCCUGGGGCGCACCGCCAAGAGCUGGGGUUUGAUCUUGCUCUUCUACCUAGUUUUUUAUGGGUUCCUGGCCGUACUCUUCUCACUCACGAUGUGGGUUAUGCUUCAGACUCUCAACGAUGAGGUUUCAAAAUAUUGUGACCAGAUUCCUAGCCCAGGACUUACGGUUUUUCCAAAACCAGUGACUGCAUUGCAAUAUACAUUCAGUGUGUCUGACCCAACUUCCUAUGCAGGGUACAUUGCAGACCUUAAGAAGUUUCUAAAACCAUAUACUUUAGAAGAAAAGAAGAACCUCACAACCCAUCCUGACCGAGCACUUUUUAAACAGAAGGGUCCAGUUUAUGUUGCAUGUCAGUUUCCUCUUUAGUUACUUCAAGCAGGCAGUGGUAUAAGUGAUCCUGAUUUUGGCUACUCUAAAGGAAAACCUUGUAUUCUUGUGAAAAUUAACAGAAUAAUUGGAUUAAAGCCUGAAGGAGUGCCAAGGAUUGAUUGUGUUUUCAAGAACGAAGAUCAAACAAAUAUAACAACAUCCUCAUAAUGGAAUUAUAGACUUAAAAUAUUUCUCAUAUCAUGGGGAAAAACUGCAUGUGUGCUGA
Saimiri boliviensis boliviensis (Bolivian squirrel monkey) is the source of this 693-nucleotide non-coding RNA. The record is from RefSeq and is a predicted model, not a curated record. Lineage: Eukaryota; Metazoa; Chordata; Mammalia; Primates; Cebidae.